GGAAGUAAAAGUCGUAACGAGGUUUCCGUAGGUGAACCUGCGGAAGGAUCAUUAUUGUAUAACCGAGGUGCGAGGGCUGUCGCUGACCCGAAAGGUCGUGCACGCCCGAGUGCCCUCACACACAUCCAUCUCACCCCUAUGUGCACCACCGCGUGGGUCCCCCUUUGGCUUGUUCGGAGGGGGGCUUACGUUUUCACACAAACUUUGUAUGCAGUGUAGAAUGUAUUUUUUGUUUUUGCGAUCACGCAAUCAAUACGACUUUCAACAACGGAUCUCUUGGCUCUC
Molecule: unclassified non-coding RNA, 285 nt
Filed under: plant metagenome
Description: partial contains small subunit ribosomal RNA, internal transcribed spacer 1, and 5.8S ribosomal RNA
Rfam family: Eukaryotic small subunit ribosomal RNA (bases 1-54)
Source: RNAcentral